Molecule: ribosomal RNA, 908 nt
Filed under: Capronia mansonii
Lineage: Eukaryota; Fungi; Ascomycota; Eurotiomycetes; Chaetothyriales; Herpotrichiellaceae
Description: LSU rRNA
Rfam family: Eukaryotic large subunit ribosomal RNA
Source: RNAcentral
AGCAUAUCUAUAGCGGAGGAAAAGAAACCAACAGGGAUUGCCUCAGUAACGGCGAAGUGAAGCGGCAACAGCUCAAAUUUGAAAUCUGGCCUCUUUGGGGUCCGAGUUGUAAUUUGUAGAGGAUGUUUCGGGCACCGCUCCGGUUUAAAUUUCUUGGAACAGAAUGUCAUAGAGGGUGAGAACCCCGUCUUGGACCGGCAGUAGGGCCCAUGUGAAACUCCUUCGACGAGUCGAGUUGUUUGGGAAUGCAGCUCAAAAUGGGUGGUAAAUUUCAUCUAAAGCUAAAUAUUGGCCAGAGACCGAUAGCGCACAAGUAGAGUGAUCGAAAGAUGAAAAGCACUUUGAAAAGAGAGUUAAACAGUACGUGAAAUUGUUGAAAGGGAAGCGCUUGCAACCAGACUUGCGCGCGGCGGUUCCCCCUUCCUUCUGGUUGGGUUAUUCCGCCGUGUCCAGGCCAACAUCGGUUCUGGGGGUCGGUUAAAGGCCCGGGGAAUGUAUCUACCCUUCGGGCGUAGACUUAUAGCCCCGGGUGUCAUGCGACCUCCCGGGACCGAGGAACGCGCUUCGGCUCGGAUGUUGGCGUAAUGGUUGUCAGCGACCCGUCUUGAAACACGGACCAAGGAGUCUAACAUCUAUGCGAGUGUUUGGGUGUCAAACCCGGAACGCGGAAUGAAAGUGAACGGAGGUAGGAAGCUUCGGCUGCACUAUCGACCGAUCCUGAUGUCUUCGGAUGGAUUUGAGUAAGAGCAUAGCUGUUGGGACCCGAAAGAUGGUGAACUAUGCCUGAAUAGGGUGAAGCCAGAGGAAACUCUGGUGGAGGCUCGCAGCGGUUCUGACGUGCAAAUCGAUCGUCAAAUUUGGGUAUAGGGGGCGAAAGACUAAUCGAACCAUCUGGUAGCUGGGUCUGC